Molecule: ribosomal RNA, 253 nt
Filed under: uncultured bacterium
Lineage: Bacteria
Description: partial 16S ribosomal RNA
Rfam family: Bacterial small subunit ribosomal RNA
Source: RNAcentral
UACAGAGGGGGCAAGCGUUGUUCGGAAUUACUGGGCGUAAAGGGCGCGUAGGCGGCCUGCUAAGUCGAACGUGAAAUCCCCGGGCUCAACCCGGGAACUGCGUCCGAUACUGGUUGGCUUGAAUCCGGGAGAGGGAUGCGGAAUUCCAGGUGUAGCGGUGGAAUGCGUAGAUAUCUGGAGGAACACCGGUGGCGAAGGCGGCAUCCUGGACCGGCAUUGACGCUGAGGCGCGAAAGCCAGGGGAGCAAACGGG